GAUGAACGCUGGCGGCGUGCCUAAUACAUGCAAGUCGAGCGAACGGACGAGAAGCUUGCUUCUCUGAUGUUAGCGGCGGACGGGUGAGUAACACGUGGAUAACCUACCUAUAAGACUGGGAUAACUUCGGGAAACCGUAGCUAAUACCGGAUAAUAUUUUGAACCGCAUGGGUCAAAGGUGAAAGACGGUCUUGCUGUCACUUAUAGAUGGAUCCGCGCUGCAUUAGCUAGUUGGUAAGGUAACGGCUUACCAAGGCAACGAUGCCUAGCCGACCUGAGAGGGUGAUCGGCCACACUGGAGCUGAGACACGGUCCAGACUCCUACGGGAGGCAGCAGUAGGGAAUGUUCCGCAAUGGGCGAAAGCCUGACGGAGCAACGCCGCGUGAGUGAUGAAGGUCUUCGGAGCGUAAAACUCUGUUAUUAGGGAAGAACAGAUGUGUAAGUAACUGUGCACAUCUUGACGGUACCGAAUCAGAAAGCCACGGCUAACUACGUG
RNAcentral lists this ribosomal RNA (497 nucleotides) under uncultured bacterium. RNAcentral describes it as "partial 16S ribosomal RNA". It matches the Rfam family "Bacterial small subunit ribosomal RNA", at positions 28 to 507 of the family's 1533-position model. The record is from RNAcentral.